GAUGAACGCUGGCGGCGUGCUUAACACAUGCAAGUCGAACGGUGAACACGGAGCUUGCUCUGUGGGAUCAGUGGCGAACGGGUGAGUAACACGUGAGCAACCUGCCCCUGACUCUGGGAUAAGCGCUGGAAACGGCGUCUAAUACUGGAUACGAGUAGCGGCCGCAUGGUCAGUUACUGGAAAGAUUUUUUGGUUGGGGAUGGGCUCGCGGCCUAUCAGCUUGUUGGUGAGGUAAUGGCUCACCAAGGCGUCGACGGGUAGCCGGCCUGAGAGGGUGACCGGCCACACUGGGACCGAGACACGACCCAGGAUCCUACGGGAGGCAGCAGUGGGGAAUAUUGCACAAUGGGCGAAAGCCUGAUGCAGCAACGCCGCGUGAGGGAUGACGGCCUUCGGGUUGUAAACCUCUUUUAGCAGGGAAGAAGCGAAAGUGACGGUACCUGCAGAAAAAGCGCCGGCUAACUACGUGCCAGCAGCCGCCGUAA
RNAcentral lists this ribosomal RNA (485 nucleotides) under uncultured bacterium. RNAcentral describes it as "partial 16S ribosomal RNA". It matches the Rfam family "Bacterial small subunit ribosomal RNA", at positions 28 to 523 of the family's 1533-position model. The record is from RNAcentral.